Phascolarctos cinereus (koala) is the source of this 321-nucleotide non-coding RNA. The record is from RefSeq and is a predicted model, not a curated record. Lineage: Eukaryota; Metazoa; Chordata; Mammalia; Diprotodontia; Phascolarctidae.
UUUGUAUUUCUUCAUCCUGCAAAUACAAACAGCAUAUAUAACCUCUUUUUCUCAGGUUAGUAAAAAACAUUGUGAAAGAAAAGUGGCAUCCCAGUCUCCCAGCUACAAUCAUCAUUGUUGAGUAUCUAGUCAACAGUCUAUCUGGAACAGGAGAUUUCCCCAUUAAAUCCCUCACUUCCUCAAGUAAAUGGUAUCAGAAGGAAUGAGCAAACCAAGUACUUCAUGGCUCCUGGCUUCCCUGGCCUCCUUCCAGAUUCAGCUCAAAUCUGACCUUCUGUAAAAGACCUCUCCCAGAGCCCCUCACUACUUUUACCUUUUCCC